This 221-nucleotide long non-coding RNA is filed under the name Gossypium raimondii (Peruvian cotton). RNAcentral describes it as "long non-coding RNA (GRAI_LNC000244)". The record is from RNAcentral. Lineage: Eukaryota; Viridiplantae; Streptophyta; Magnoliopsida; Malvales; Malvaceae.
UGUGUGGGGGCAUAAGAUUAUACUGCUUACGGUCACGAGUAAUACGCUUUGUAUGGAAGCGCAAGAGUGUAUGGUAAUGGGAAGAUGGUUGGAUUUGGCUUCUUUAAUGCUUACUUCUGCUGAGUUGAGAUUUUGUUCUUCAAGGUGCCUUUUAGUCCCUAUGAAUAAAUUUUGUGUAAUUAGUUUAGAUAAGACAGAUUGAAUGUUGUCUAGGAUUUCCU